Molecule: ribosomal RNA, 229 nt
Filed under: uncultured bacterium
Lineage: Bacteria
Description: partial 16S ribosomal RNA
Rfam family: Bacterial small subunit ribosomal RNA
Source: RNAcentral
UCCGUAGGCGGGCAAUUAAGUCAGAGGUGAAAUCCCACAGCUCAACUGUGGAACUGCCUUUGAUACUGGUUGUCUUGAGUUACAGUGAAGUAGAUAGAAUAUGUAGUGUAGCGGUGAAAUGCAUAGAUAUUACAUAGAAUACCGAUUGCGAAGGCAGUCUACUACCUGUAUACUGACGCUAAUGGACGAAAGCGUGGGGAGCGAACAGGAUUAGAUACCCUGGUAGUCC